This 28-nucleotide non-coding RNA is filed under the name Mus musculus (house mouse). The record is from RNAcentral. Lineage: Eukaryota; Metazoa; Chordata; Mammalia; Rodentia; Muridae.
UUGCCUUCCACCUCGCUGAACUGUGGUC